AUUGAACGCUGGCGGCAUGCUUUACACAUGCAAGUCGAGCGGCAGCGCGGGGGCAACCCUGGCGGCGAGCGGCGAACGGGUGAGUAAUGCAUCGGAACGUGUCCCGUAGUGGUGGAUAACGCCGGGAAACCGGCGCUAAUACCGCAUAUGCUCUACGGAGGAAAGGGGGGGACCCGCAAGGGCCUCCCGCUAUGGGAGCGGCCGAUGGCCGAUUAGCUUGUUGGUGAGGUAAAGGCUUACCAAGGCGACGAUCGGUAGCUGGUCUGAGAGGAUGAUCAGCCACACUGGGACUGAGACACGGCCCAGACUCCUACGGGAGGCAGCAGUGGGGAAUUUUGGACAAUGGGGGCAACCCUGAUCCAGCCAUGCCGCGUGCGGGAAGAAGGCCUUCGGGUUGUAAACCGCUUUUGUCCGGAAAGAAAAGGCAUUCCCUAAUACGGGGUGUUCUUGACGGUACCGGAAGAAUAAGCACCGGCUAACUACGUGCCAGCCGCCGCCGUAA
RNAcentral lists this ribosomal RNA (502 nucleotides) under uncultured bacterium. Its description in RNAcentral is "partial 16S ribosomal RNA". It matches the Rfam family "Bacterial small subunit ribosomal RNA", at positions 28 to 523 of the family's 1533-position model. The record is from RNAcentral.